GUGCACGCUGGCGGCGUGCCUAAUACAUGCAAGUCGAACGAACGAAUAAGAGCUUGCUCUUAUAAGUUAGUGGCGCACGGGUGAGUAAUAUAUAGCUAAUCUGCCUCUUAGUAGAGGAUAACAGUCGGAAACGAUUGCUAAUACUCUAUACUUCUGCUUUACAUAAGUAAAGUAGAGAAAGUUUUUCGCUAAGAGAUGAGGCUAUACUGUAUCAGCUAGUUGGUAAGGUAACGGCUUACCAAGGAUAUGACGCAUAACUGGUCUGAGAGGAUGAUCAGUCACAUUGGAACUGAGACACGGUCCAAACUCCUACGGGAGACAGCAGUAGGGAAUAUUGCGCAAUGGGGGAAACCCUGACGCAGCAACGCCGCGUGGAGGAUGACACUUUUCGGAGCGUAAACUCCUUUUAUCGGGAAAGAAUAAUGACGGUACCCGAUGAAUAAGCACCGGCUAACUCCGUG
RNAcentral lists this ribosomal RNA (461 nucleotides) under uncultured bacterium. Its description in RNAcentral is "partial 16S ribosomal RNA". It matches the Rfam family "Bacterial small subunit ribosomal RNA", at positions 29 to 507 of the family's 1533-position model. The record is from RNAcentral.